UUUCUCUCUGCGCUGCUCCUUAUCUCUUGCGUCUCAGUUUCUCACUCUCUCUCUAUGCUUCCUUCCUUCAUCGUCUCAGUCUCUCACUCUGUCUAUGGAUCCCCUUCUUCCCCGUAAAAGCGAACCGCGCCAUCGGCUUCAACACCAUCACCGGCGGAUGAUCUCUGGAUUGCAUCCUCUCUCGAUUAUCUGCUCUCUCUUUCUAGUGACUGCCACUCACAUUCUAUCCCGCUCUUUCUCCGAAAUCCUACCUCUUCACCUCUGUUUUGCACCUUCACUCUUGGAAGAUUCUCAACCACUCUGGUCGUUGGUUUAGGUUUUGUGCAGCGUCGCGUCGCUUUAGUGAAUCUUCCCCGUUAUUGCACUCUGAUUCGAAGUGGGUGAGGGUUUUCAUUUCUAAAAUUAAUUUAGGUUAUCAUCAUUAUGUUUUAUA
Molecule: non-coding RNA, 433 nt
Organism: Arachis ipaensis
Lineage: Eukaryota; Viridiplantae; Streptophyta; Magnoliopsida; Fabales; Fabaceae
Source: RefSeq, a predicted model, not a curated record